GUUUGCCUACGGGGGGAGCAGUCGAGAAUCAUUCACAAUGGGGGAAACCCUGAUGGUGCGACGCCGCGUGGGGAAAUGAAGGUCUUCGGAUUGUAAACCCCUGUCAUGUGGGAGCAAAUUAAAAAGAUAGUACCACAAGAGGAAGAGACGGCUAACUCUGUGCCAGCAGCCGCGGUAAUACAGAGGUCUCAAGCGUUGUUCGGAAUCACUGGGCGUAAAGCGUGCGUAGGCUGUUUCGUACGUCGUGUGUGUAAGGCGCGGGCUCAACCCGCGGCCGGUACAUGAUACUG
This 290-nucleotide ribosomal RNA is filed under the name uncultured bacterium. Its description in RNAcentral is "partial 16S ribosomal RNA". It matches the Rfam family "Bacterial small subunit ribosomal RNA", at positions 333 to 635 of the family's 1533-position model. The record is from RNAcentral.